RNAcentral lists this ribosomal RNA (480 nucleotides) under uncultured bacterium. Its description in RNAcentral is "partial 16S ribosomal RNA". It matches the Rfam family "Bacterial small subunit ribosomal RNA", at positions 28 to 507 of the family's 1533-position model. The record is from RNAcentral.
GACGAACGCUGGCGGCGUGCUUAACACAUGCAAGUCGAACGAUGAAGAAAAGAAUCGAAGCUUCGGCAGAAAUUCAUUUCGGAUUAGUGGCAGACGGGUGAGUAACGCGUGAGCAACCUACCUCUUACAAAGGGAUAGCCUCUGGAAACCGGGAUUAAUACCAUAUAACAUUGUGACGAAGCAUUUCGAUGCAAUCAAAGCUACGGCGGUAAGAGAUGGGCUCGCGUCCCAUUAAACGGAUGGUGAGGUAACGGCUCACCAUAGUGACGAUGGGUAACCGGCCUGAGAGGGUGAACGGUCACACUGGAACUGAGACACGGUCCAGACUCCUACGGGAGGCAGCAGUGGGGAAUAUUGCACAAUGGAGGGAACUCUGAUGCAGCGACGCCGCGUGAGUGAUGAAGGAAUUCGUUUCGUAAAACUCUGUUCUAUGGGAAGAAAAGGACUGUACCAUAGGAGAAAGCUCCGGCUAAAUACGUG